CGGCUGGGUGGAAACGGAUAGAGCCAGCUUAGGCUACCUGUGUUCAGUCGGUGCACUUGCAGGUUUUGUGAGCUGAGGCGUGUAAGUGGUCGAGUUGAUGGCUUUCUAGAGGCGGGCGAACCUACGUCGUUCUGCUUGCCGCCGUGUCGUUUUGUCCUUUCACCCGCAUGCGGUGUGUUGGGCAGGAUGGUGCGUGCUAGGCUUGGACAACUUGGCAUUCCUCGGCUUGGAAGCUGGUCAUCUCUCCGACCCGUCUUGAAACACGGACCAAGGAGUUUAGCGUGUGCGCAAGCCAGUGGGUGUAAAAACCUAUGGGCGCAAUGAAAGUGAAGGCCACUGUUUUGUGGUUGACGUGCGAUCCCUAAGGCUUGCCGAUGGGAGCAGCAUGGUCCCGUUCCGAUCGCUUGCGAUGGGGCGGAGACAGAGUGUACGCGCUGAGACCCGAAAGAUGGUGAACUAUUCCUGAGCAGGACGAAGCCAGAGGAAACUCUGGUGGAAGUCCGAAGCGGUUCUGACGUGCAAAUCGAUCGUCU
RNAcentral lists this ribosomal RNA (533 nucleotides) under Meloidoderita kirjanovae. RNAcentral describes it as "eukaryotic LSU rRNA". It matches the Rfam family "Eukaryotic large subunit ribosomal RNA", at positions 406 to 907 of the family's 3401-position model. The record is from RNAcentral. Lineage: Eukaryota; Metazoa; Nematoda; Chromadorea; Rhabditida; Sphaeronematidae.